UACGUAGGGGGCAAGCGUUGUCCGGAAUCAUUGGGCGUAAAGAGCGUGUAGGCGGCCCGAUAAGUCCGCUGUGAAAGUCCAGGGCUCAACCCUGGAAUGCCGGUGGAUACUGUCGGGCUCGAAUCCGGAAGAGGUGAGUGGAAUUCCUGGUGUAGCGGUGAAAUGCGCAGAUAUCAGGAGGAACACCAACGGCGAAGGCAGCUCGCUGGGACGGUACUGACACUAAGGCGCGAAAGCGUGGGGAGCGAACAGG
Molecule: ribosomal RNA, 253 nt
Filed under: uncultured bacterium
Lineage: Bacteria
Description: partial 16S ribosomal RNA
Rfam family: Bacterial small subunit ribosomal RNA
Source: RNAcentral